CAUCUGGGCUGCCUUUAGGAUUCAGCUCCAUGGCAGAAGAAGACAUUGAGACCAAAAUCAAGAACUACAAGACUGCCCCUUUUGACAGCCGCUUCCCCAACCAGAACCAGACCAGGAACUGCUGGCAGAACUACCUGGACUUCCACCGCUGUCAGAAGGCAAUGAUGGCUAAAGGAGGCGACAUCUCUGUGUGUGAAUGGUACCAGUGUGUGUACCAGUUCCUCUGCCCCACAUCCUGGGUCAUAGACUGGGAUGACCAACAGGCUGAAGGCACGUUUCCCGGAAAGAUCUGAACUGGCUGUACCUCCCUCUCCUCUGUUCUCCGUCCUUCUACCAGGAUGGUGAAGGGGGACCUAGUACCCAGUGACCCCCACCCCGGGAUCCUAAAUCAUGACUUACCUGCUAAUAAAAACUCACUGGAAAAGUGAAAAAAAAAAAAAAAAA
Molecule: RNA transcript, 444 nt
Organism: Rhinopithecus roxellana (golden snub-nosed monkey)
Lineage: Eukaryota; Metazoa; Chordata; Mammalia; Primates; Cercopithecidae
Gene name: cytochrome c oxidase subunit 6B1 pseudogene
Exons: 1
Source: RefSeq, a predicted model, not a curated record